RNAcentral lists this ribosomal RNA (506 nucleotides) under uncultured Glomeromycotina. RNAcentral describes it as "partial small subunit ribosomal RNA". It matches the Rfam family "Eukaryotic small subunit ribosomal RNA", at positions 591 to 1092 of the family's 1831-position model. The record is from RNAcentral. Lineage: Eukaryota; Fungi; Glomeromycota.
CCAAUAGCGUAUAUUAAAGUUGUUGCAGUUAAAAAGCUCGGAGUUGAAUUUCGGGAUUGACGUGAUGGUCGUGCCUUACGGGGUAUGAACUGUCGCAGUUGAUUUCUCACCUUCUGGAGAAGCGCGAUGUCCUUAAUUGGGUGUCUUUCGGAACCAGGACCUUUACCUUGAAAAAAUUAGAGUGUUUAAAGCAGGCAUUUUGCUCGAAUACAUUAGCAUGGAAUAAUAGAAUAGGACGGCAUGGUUCUAUUUUGUUGGUUUCUAGGAUCACCGUAAUGAUUAAUAGGGAUAGUUGGGGGCAUUAGUAUUCAAUUGUCAGAGGUGAAAUUCUUGGAUUUAUUGAAGACUAACUACUGCGAAAGCAUUUGCCAAGGAUGUUUUCAUUAAUCAAGAACGAAAGUUAGGGGAUCGAAGACGAUCAGAUACCGUCGUAGUCUUAACCAUAAACUAUGCCGACUAGGAAUCAGACGAUGUUAAUUUUUUAAUGACUCGUUUGGCACCUUACG